This 985-nucleotide unclassified non-coding RNA is filed under the name Drosophila pseudoobscura pseudoobscura. RNAcentral describes it as "GA28137". Lineage: Eukaryota; Metazoa; Arthropoda; Insecta; Diptera; Drosophilidae. The record is from RNAcentral.
UCUAGACUUCGUAAUGCGAUCUCUUCUUUUUCCCUGAAGAACAUGUGUCCGACUCGAACUACACAGAAAGCGACAGAAGUAACGAAACUCCUGGUGCUAAAAAAUGAAGCCGCAAAGAUGCUACCUUUACAAAGACAGUGCUGCCAAUGCAGGGACAGAAAAUAUAUAUUGUUUUCGCCGGCUUUGCCAAUCGGAAUAGGCCAAACAUUUGUUCACAAAUUGUCAACAAAUCAGGCAGUUAAUAGUCAGUUCAUUGUAAUUUCCUUCUGGAUUGUUCGCAUCCUCCCUGAAGAAAGCAACGCGUGGAUUCUGCCGAAGACCAAUCCAAGAAGAAGUGAAAAGUGAACAAAUUGCACUGUAAUUCGAAUUCCUUUCAUCAAUUAGUGCACAUACAAUGAACGGUCAGAAUCGCAAGAGGAAGUGGCAAGCUGGGCGCGGUGAGGAUCUCACCCCCGACGACCGUAUUGAACUGAUUGCCGAGUUGAUGGCUAAACUAGACGGAGUCAAUUUCGUCGCCGACUUUUUCCGCAUCCGUCGACUGAAACUGCUGAUCACCGACUGCCUGCCCGACCAAAAGGAGCAGCUGCUACGCAUUCUCAUAGGCUAUGUGAACCGGCCCCCCAGCCCGGCCACAGCUAGCUACGCCAAAAUUGUGAAUCUCCUCAGCAAAGACAUUGGUUCCCUGAUGGUCGACUGCAUCCGCGCCCUGAAGGCGGUCCAAGAGAAGGCACUCAUCGAUGGCAAGUGGGACAACGCGCGCGGCCUGGAGUGCUUCUUAGCUGAGCUAAGCAAGUGACAUAGCAGAGAAGGGCCCUGGCUAUGCAGUUUGAUCACUGCACUGCCCCUGUUCGGCCACGAUACGUUGUACAUAUCAAACUCUCGGUAAACAAAACAUAGCAUAUUCAAUAACACGAGCCUAAGACACGAGGCUAACAAACGAGCCUAAUAAACGAAGAAUCUAGGCAACGAUAUUGGUGCACUUUAA